RNAcentral lists this ribosomal RNA (117 nucleotides) under Actinomycetes bacterium. Lineage: Bacteria; Bacillati; Actinomycetota; Actinomycetes. The record is from RNAcentral.
UUCGGUGGUCAUGGCGGAGGGGGAACACCCGGUCCCAUCCCGAACCCGGCAGUUAAGCCCUCCAGCGCCGAUGGUACUGCCCGGGCGACCGGGUGGGAGAGUAGGUCGCCGCCGGGA